CACCACCAAGUUUGACAACAGCAGCAACCCAAGUGCCGACAUCGCCCCAAAGACCUGUGCCCGUCACAGGGAGACCGGUACCGUUUGAAAACACCACCGAACCCGGUCGCAUGACAUCACGAUGCCUGGAGCUCAGACUUCGUGACGUCACACUCCCAGAGUGGGAGAGCGAAAUGCAAUGCAGUACCAGUAAUAUUUCUGAUUGGUUUGGAUAAAGAAUUUUGGAGUUAUUCGAUUGUUAAUUCCUACCUGCCGAGAUCAUCGGAAAAGUUGAUGCCUUCGCUCAUCUUUCCCCCAACGACAGAGAGCAGUAGAGCCCCUGUGAUUGGGCCUGCUGUUUGCUUUGAGUGCUGGAGGUCAAAUAAAACAGUUACUGUUGCAGGCCAACACCACGGAUCAACCCGCAGAGUAUAGAUUGAUGCUCCAACCAGGCCAGGCUUAAUCAUAUUCUGAAGUGAUCAUCUCCUGUACGCAAGAGCUUUCACUCAAGAGUCAACAUAAAUUUGAGUCUCUCCGUGGGCAAUUCUACCAGACAAAAACAGAAAA
This is a long non-coding RNA of Hypanus sabinus (Atlantic stingray), 546 nucleotides long. RefSeq lists it as uncharacterized. The transcript is spliced from 3 exons. Lineage: Eukaryota; Metazoa; Chordata; Chondrichthyes; Myliobatiformes; Dasyatidae. The record is from RefSeq and is a predicted model, not a curated record.